AUUGAACGCUGGCGGCAGGCCUAACACAUGCAAGUCGAGCGGAUGAAGGGAGCUUGCUCCUGGAUUCAGCGGCGGACGGGUGAGUAAUGCCUAGGAAUCUGCCUGGUAGUGGGGGAUAACGUCCGGAAACGGGCGCUAAUACCGCAUAAGUCCAGAGGGAGAAAGUGGGGGAUCUUCGGACCUCACGCUAUCAGAUGAGCCUAGGUCGGAUUAGCUAGUUGGUGGGGUAAAGGCCUACCAAGGCGACGAUCCGUAACUGGUCUGAGAGGAUGAUCAGUCACACUGGAACUGAGACACGGUCCAGACUCCUACGGGAGGCAGCAGUGGGGAAUAUUGGACAAUGGGCGAAAGCCUGAUCCAGCCAUGCCGCGUGUGUGAAGAAGGUCUUCGGAUUGUAAAGCACUUUAAGUUGGGAGGAAGGGCAGUAAGUUAAUCCCUUGCUGUUUUGACGUUACCAACAGAAUAAGCACCGGCUAACUUCGUG
Molecule: ribosomal RNA, 484 nt
Filed under: uncultured bacterium
Lineage: Bacteria
Description: partial 16S ribosomal RNA
Rfam family: Bacterial small subunit ribosomal RNA
Source: RNAcentral